GAUGAACGCUAGCGGCAGGCCUAACACAUGCAAGUCGAGGGGCAGCACGUCUUCGGAUGGUGGCGACCGGCGCACGGGUGCGUAACGCGUAUGCAACCUACCUCUUACAGUGGGAUAGCCCAGAGAAAUUUGGAUUAAUACCGCAUAGUAUACAGAUUCAGCAUUGGGACUGUAUUAAACAUUUAUGGGUAANAGAUGGGCAUGCGUUCUAUUAGUUAGUUGGAGUGGUAACGGCACCCCAAGACCAGCGAUAGAUAGGGGCCCUGAGAGGGGGAUCCCCACACUGGUACUGAGACACGGACCAGACUCCUG
RNAcentral lists this ribosomal RNA (312 nucleotides) under uncultured bacterium. RNAcentral describes it as "bacterial SSU rRNA". It matches the Rfam family "Bacterial small subunit ribosomal RNA", at positions 28 to 341 of the family's 1533-position model. The record is from RNAcentral.